AGUGAACGCUGGCGGUAGGCCUAACACAUGCAAGUCGAACGGCAGCACAGGAGAGCUUGCUCUCUGGGUGGCGAGUGGCGGACGGGUGAGGAAUACAUCGGAAUCUACUUUUUCGUGGGGGAUAACGUAGGGAAACUUACGCUAAUACCGCAUACGACCUACGGGUGAAAGCAGGGGACCUUCGGGCCUUGCGCGAUGGAAUGAGCCGAUGACGGAUUAGCUAGUUGGCGGGGUAAAGGCCCACCAAGGCGACGAUCCGUAGCUGGUCUGGAAGGAUGAUCAGCCACACUGGAACUGGGACACGGUCCAGACUGCUACGGGAGGCAGCAGUGGGGAAUAUUGGACAAUGGGCGCAAGCCUGAUCCAGCCAUACCGCGUGGGUGAAGAAGGCCUUCGGGUUGUAAAGCCCUUUUGUUGGGAAAGAAAUCCAUCUGGUUAAUACCCGGGUGGGAUGACGGUACCCAAAGAAUAAGCACCGGCUAACUUCGUGCCAGCAGCCGCAGUAA
This 506-nucleotide ribosomal RNA is filed under the name uncultured bacterium. RNAcentral describes it as "partial 16S ribosomal RNA". It matches the Rfam family "Bacterial small subunit ribosomal RNA", at positions 29 to 523 of the family's 1533-position model. The record is from RNAcentral.